CAAAGCCCAAAAUUAACUUGUUUUGAAUGUAAUAAAUUAUUAAUAUUCUUUUAAGAAUGAACGGACAGCCAAAGAAGGAGAAUGGAGAAGUUAGAAAUUGGAAGAGAUGCAGAAACGCAAAAACAAUGAUGUGGUACAACUGGUGGUUUGCUGCUUCCACUUGACAUGGACAAAUGCUGGAGGAGCAUGUUGUCCAUGGACCUUAUGGUGAUGACAGAGUUGGAGGAUGACCUGGACAAACAUCUGGCAGUCUGUGGUCAGGCAUGUUGUGACUUAUAUGUCUAGUUUCUUGGGGAAGGAGAGGAGAAUUGGAAAUGCUAAAGGAGCGAGUAAAAGUACCCGAAGCCUGAAGAAAGCCAGUCACUUUUUCCCACCUGUUGCUGUAAGGUGCAUCUUUAACCAUAGAUCUGUGUCAACAGUAAGAGAAAGAACAUAGACUAAGUAAGAGGACAUCUUCAUCUCCGUCAUCCUUCUCCGAGA
Hemiscyllium ocellatum (epaulette shark) is the source of this 480-nucleotide long non-coding RNA. RefSeq lists it as uncharacterized. The record is from RefSeq and is a predicted model, not a curated record. The transcript has 4 exons. NCBI's taxonomy places the organism in Eukaryota, Metazoa, Chordata, Chondrichthyes, Orectolobiformes, Hemiscylliidae.